Molecule: non-coding RNA, 254 nt
Filed under: Corynebacterium tuberculostearicum
Lineage: Bacteria; Bacillati; Actinomycetota; Actinomycetes; Mycobacteriales; Corynebacteriaceae
Also listed under: 5 other names
Description: partial 16S ribosomal RNA
Rfam family: Bacterial small subunit ribosomal RNA
Source: RNAcentral
UACGUAGGGUGCGAGCGUUGUCCGGAAUUACUGGGCGUAAAGGGCUCGUAGGUGGUUUGUCGCGUCGUCUGUGAAAUUCCGGGGCUUAACUCCGGGCGUGCAGGCGAUACGGGCAUAACUUGAGUACUGUAGGGGUAACUGGAAUUCCUGGUGUAGCGGUGAAAUGCGCAGAUAUCAGGAGGAACACCGAUGGCGAAGGCAGGUUACUGGGCAGUUACUGACGCUGAGGAGCGAAAGCAUGGGUAGCGAACAGG